Molecule: ribosomal RNA, 708 nt
Filed under: uncultured Gammaproteobacteria bacterium
Lineage: Bacteria; Pseudomonadati; Pseudomonadota; Gammaproteobacteria
Description: bacterial SSU rRNA
Rfam family: Bacterial small subunit ribosomal RNA
Source: RNAcentral
CUUCGGGGUGCUGACGAGUGGCGGACGGGUGAGUAAUGCUUAGGAAUCUGCCUAGUAGUGGGGGAUAACCCGGGGAAACCCGGGCUAAUACCGCAUACGCCCUACGGGGGAAAGCGGGGGACUUUCGGGCCUCGCGCUAUUAGAUGAGCCUAAGUCCGAUUAGCUAGUUGGUAGGGUAAUGGCCUACCAAGGCGACGAUCGGUAGCUGGUCUGAGAGGACGACCAGCCACACUGGGACUGAGACACGGCCCAGACUCCUACGGGAGGCAGCAGUGGGGAAUAUUGGACAAUGGGCGCAAGCCUGAUCCAGCGAUGCCGCGUGUGUGAAGAAGGCCUGCGGGUUGUAAAGCACUUUCAGUAGGGAAGAAAAGCCGAGUGCUAAUAUCACUCGGUCUUGACGUUACUUACAGAAGAAGCACCGGCUAACUCCGUGCCAGCAGCCGCGGUAAUACGGAGGGUGCGAGCGUUAAUCGGAAUUACUGGGCGUAAAGGGCGCGUAGGCGGUUUGGUAAGUCGGGUGUGAAAGCCCCGGGCUCAACCUGGGAAUUGCAUUCGAUACUGCCUGGCUAGAGUAUGGUAGAGGGAAGCGGAAUUCCGGGUGUAGCGGUGAAAUGCGUAGAUAUCCGGAGGAACACCAGUGGCGAAGGCGGCUUCCUGGACCAAUACUGACGCUGAGGCGCGAAAGCGUGGGGAUCAAACAGGAUUAGA